Molecule: ribosomal RNA, 264 nt
Filed under: uncultured bacterium
Lineage: Bacteria
Description: partial 16S ribosomal RNA
Rfam family: Bacterial small subunit ribosomal RNA
Source: RNAcentral
UGGCGACCGGCGCACGGGUGAGUAACACGUAUCCAACCUGCCUCAUACUCGGGGAUAGCCUUUCGAAAGAAAGAUUAAUACCCGAUGUUAUAGUCCUACCGCAUGAUGGGAUUAUUAAAGAAUUUCGGUAUGGGAUGGGGAUGCGUUCCAUUAGCUAGUUGGUAGGGUAAUGGCCUACCAAGGCGACGAUGGGUAGCCGGCCUGAGAGGGUGGCCGGCCACACUGGGACUGAGACACGGCCCAGACUCCUACGGGAGGCAGCAG